UUAGAGUUUGAUCCUGGCUCAGGAUGAACGCUAGCGGCAGGCUUAACACAUGCAAGUCGAGGGGCAGCGAGAUCAGUGCUUGCACUGAUUGUCGGCGACCGGCGCACGGGUGCGUAACGCGUAUGCAACCUACCCAUUACAGGGGGAUAACACUGAGAAAUCGGUACUAAUACCCCAUAACAUCCAGGGAGGCAUCUUCUUGGGUUGAAAACUCCGGUGGUAAUGGAUGGGCAUGCGUUGUAUUAGUUAGUUGGUGGGGUAACGGCUCACCAAGACAACGAUACAUAGGGGGACUGAGAGGUUAACCCCCCACAUUGGUACUGAGACACGGACCAAACUCCUACGGGAGGCAGCAGUGAGGAAUAUUGGUCAAUGGACGCAAGUCUGAACCAGCCAUGCCGCGUGCAGGAAGACGGCUCUAUGAGUUGUAAACUGCUUUUGUACGAGGGUAAACGCAGAUACGCGUAUCUGUCUGAAAGUAUCGUACGAAUAAGGAUCGGCUAACUCCGUGCCAGCAGCCGCGGUAAUACGGAGGAUUCAAGCGUUAUCCGGAUUUAUUGGGUUUAAAGGGUGCGUAGGCGGUCGGAUAAGUUAGAGGUGAAAUCCCGGGGCUCAACUUCGGAAUUGCCUCUGAUACUGUUCGGCUAGAGAGUAGUUGCGGUAGGCGGAAUGUAUGGUGUAGCGGUGAAAUGCUUAGAGAUCAUACAGAACACCGAUUGCGAAGGCAGCUUACCAAGCUACUUCUGACGUUGAGGCACGAAAGCGUGGGGAGCAAACAGGAUUAGAUACCCUGGUAGUCCACGCAGUAAACGAUGAUAACUCGUUGUCGGCGAUACAGUGUCGGUGACUAAGCGAAAGCGAUAAGUUAUCCACCUGGGGAGUACGUUCGCAAGAAUGAAACUCAAAGGAAUUGACGGGGGCCCGCACAAGCGGAGGAACAUGUGGUUUAAUUCGAUGAUACGCGAGGAACCUUACCCGGGCUUGAAAGUUAGUGACGGAUCUUGAAAGAGGUCUUCCCUUCGGGGCACGAAACUAGGUGCUGCAUGGUUGUCGUCAGCUCGUGCCGUGAGGUGUCGGGUUAAGUCCCAUAACGAGCGCAACCCCUACCGUUAGUUGCCAGCAGGUCAAGCUGGGCACUCUGACGGGACUGCCGGUGUAAGCCGAGAGGAAGGUGGGGAUGACGUCAAAUCAGCACGGCCCUUACGUCCGGGGCUACACACGUGUUACAAUGGCAGGUACAGAGGGCAGCUACCCAGCGAUGGGAUGCGAAUCUCGAAAGCCUGUCUUAGUUCGGAUUGGAGGCUGAAACCCGCCUCCAUGAAGUUGGAUUCGCUAGUAAUCGCGCAUCAGCCAUGGCGCGGUGAAUACGUUCCCGGGCCUUGCACACACCGCCCGUCAAG
RNAcentral lists this ribosomal RNA (1400 nucleotides) under uncultured bacterium. RNAcentral's name for it is "bacterial SSU rRNA". It matches the Rfam family "Bacterial small subunit ribosomal RNA". The record is from RNAcentral.